Non-coding RNA from Trichonephila clavipes, 73 nucleotides. NCBI's taxonomy places the organism in Eukaryota, Metazoa, Arthropoda, Arachnida, Araneae, Nephilidae. The record is from the annotation of a GenBank genome assembly.
AUCGUUCGUUGGCGCAAUACAUAGCGCGUUGGACCUAAUCCAAAGAUCGUGGGUUCGAAUCCCACCUAGGAUG